UGCGGAAUUUUAGAUAAUGGAGGGAACUCUGAUCUAGCGACGCCGCGUGCAGGAAGAAGGUCUUCGGAUUGUAAACUGCUGUGGUAAGGGAAAAAUGCUAUGUAGAGUGGAAAGCUACAUAGAGGGAUGGUACCUUACUAGAAAGCCCCGGCUAACUACGUGCCAGCAGCCGCGGUAAUACGUAGGGGGCGAGCGUUACCCGGAAUCACUGGGCGUAAAGGGAGCGUAGGUGGCCUAACAUGUCAACUGUGAAAACCCGGAGCUCAACUCCGGACUUGCAGUUGAAACUGGUAGGCUUGAGGACGGUAGAGGAAGACGGAACUGCCAGUGUAGGGGUAAAAUCCUUAGAUAUUGGCAGGAACGCCGGUGACGAAGGUGGUUUUCUGGGCCGGUUCAGACACUGAUGCUCGAAA
Molecule: ribosomal RNA, 413 nt
Filed under: uncultured bacterium
Lineage: Bacteria
Description: bacterial SSU rRNA
Rfam family: Bacterial small subunit ribosomal RNA
Source: RNAcentral